CCAAUAGCGUAUAUUAAAGUUGUUGCAGUUAAAAAGCUCGUAGUUGAAUUUCGGGAUUAGUACGCUGGUCGUGCCUUCGGUAUGUACUGGUGUUACUGGUUCCUACCUUCUGACGAACCGUCAUGUCAUUAAUUUGGUGUGGCGGGAAAUCAGGACUGUUACUUUGAAAAAAUUAGAGUGUUUAAAGCAGGCUCGCGCUUGAAUACAUUAGCAUGGAAUAAUGAAAUAGGACGUUCGAUCCUAUUUUGUUGGUUUCUAGGAUUGACGUAAUGAUUAAUAGGGAUAGUUGGGGGCAUUAGUAUUCAAUUGUCAGAGGUGAAAUUCUUGGAUUUAUUGAAGACUAACUACUGCGAAAGCAUUUGCCAAGGAUGUUUUCAUUAAUCAAGAACGAAAGUUAGGGGAUCGAAGACGAUCAGAUACCGUCGUAGUCUUAACCAUAAACUAUGCCGACUAGGGAUCGGAUGAUGUUAUUGUUAAUGACUCAUUCGGCGCCUUACG
RNAcentral lists this unclassified non-coding RNA (498 nucleotides) under uncultured Glomus. RNAcentral's name for it is "SSU rRNA". It matches the Rfam family "Eukaryotic small subunit ribosomal RNA", at positions 591 to 1092 of the family's 1831-position model. Lineage: Eukaryota; Fungi; Glomeromycota; Glomeromycetes; Glomerales; Glomeraceae. The record is from RNAcentral.